Long non-coding RNA from Aquila chrysaetos chrysaetos, 451 nucleotides. RefSeq lists it as uncharacterized. The record is from RefSeq and is a predicted model, not a curated record. The transcript has 3 exons. NCBI's taxonomy places the organism in Eukaryota, Metazoa, Chordata, Aves, Accipitriformes, Accipitridae.
CUCGGUGCUGUCAUUCUGAUGGGGCUGGCUGUUGCAGAGCUCCAGGUUAACUUCUUCAGAAGAGAGGGCCCGGUGAGACGUUGGUGUAUGGAGGCAGACGGGUCCCCAUGACACGGUGCCACAGAGGAGCACUCCUCCGUCUGCUGGAGCGUCGCGGGGGGAACGUCUCCUGCAGGAAUUGUCCUCAGCGUGCUGCCAGACAAGCAAACCCAUUGUUGGGCCCCUUGGCUUGAAGGCUUGAAGAUGAAGUCCACUCGCCAUCUGGCCCUUCGUGACUGAUUGGAAGCCUGACUCGUUUGCGGGAUGCUCUGUGAACCGCAGCGUGGCGAGCCUUACUGACACCGUGCUGUUAACUCGGAAAGCAGGCUGGGAAUGGCAGUUUGGCAUGAGUCCUGAAGGAGAUCGUUCACAGCCUGGGCUGUUGCAGGGGAAGGUGCCUACUCCAAAACCA